RNAcentral lists this ribosomal RNA (110 nucleotides) under Candidatus Colwellbacteria bacterium RBG_13_48_8. Lineage: Bacteria; Candidatus Colwelliibacteriota. The record is from RNAcentral.
UGCCGGUGUUUUACUCAAGUGUGAACCACCUCUUCCCAUUCCGAACAGAGAAGUGAAAGCAUUUGAGCCCGAUGAUAGUCCUUAGGGGCGAAAGUAGGGUAUGCCGGCAU